GGAUAACCUGCCCUUGGGACCGGCAUAACCCCGGGAAACUGGGGAUAAUUCCGGAUAACGCAUAUGUGCUGGAAUGCUUUAUGCGUAAAAUGGAUUCGUCUGCCCAAGGAUGGGUCUGCGGCCUAUCAGGUAGUAGUGGGUGUAAUGUACCUACUAGCCAGCGACGGGUACGGGUUGUGAGAGCAAGAGCCCGGAGAUGGAUUCUGAGACAUGAAUCCAGGCCCUACGGGGCGCAGCAGGCGCGAAAACUUUACAAUGCGGGAAACCGUGAUAAGGGGACACCGAGUGCCAGCAUCAUAUGCUGGCUGUCCAGGUGUGUAAAAUACACCUGUUAGCAAGGGCCGGGCAAGACCGGUGCCAGCCGCCGCGGUAACACCGGCGGCCCGAGUGGUGAUCGUGAUUAUUGGGUCUAAAGGGUCCGUAGCCGGUUUGGUCAGUCCUCCGGGAAAUCUGAUAGCUUAACUAUUAGGCUUUCGGGGGAUACUGCCAGACUUGGAACCGGGAGAGGUAAGAGGUACUACAGGGGUAGGAGUGAAAUCUUGUAAUCCCUGUGGGACCACCUGUGGCGAAGGCGUCUUACCAGAACGGGUUCGACGGUGAGGGACGAAAGCUGGGGGCACGAACCGGAUUAGAUACCCGGGUAGUCCCAGCCGUAAACGAUGCUCGCUAGGUGUCAGGCAUGGCGCGACCGUGUCUGGUGCCGCAGGGAAGCCGUGAAGCGAGCCACCUGGGAAGUACGGCCGCAAGGCUGAAACUUAA
Molecule: ribosomal RNA, 759 nt
Filed under: Methanosarcina sp. enrichment culture clone A1-30
Lineage: Archaea; Methanobacteriati; Methanobacteriota; Methanomicrobia; Methanosarcinales; Methanosarcinaceae
Also listed under: 1 other name
Description: bacterial SSU rRNA
Rfam family: Archaeal small subunit ribosomal RNA
Source: RNAcentral